RNAcentral lists this ribosomal RNA (301 nucleotides) under uncultured bacterium. Its description in RNAcentral is "partial 16S ribosomal RNA". It matches the Rfam family "Bacterial small subunit ribosomal RNA", at positions 509 to 809 of the family's 1533-position model. The record is from RNAcentral.
CAGUAGCCGCGGUAAUACGUAGGUCCCGAGCGUUGUCCGGAUUAUUGGGCGUAAAGCGAGCGCAGGCGGUUAGAUAAGUCUGAAGUUAAAGGCUGUGGCUUAACCAUAGUACGCUUUGGAAACUGUUUAACUUGAGUGCAAGAGGGGAGAGUGGAAUUCCAUGUGUAGCGGUGAAAUGCGUAGAUAUAUGGAGGAACACCGGUGGCGAAAGCGGCUCUCUGGCUUGUAACUGACGCUGAGGCUCGAAAGCGUGGGGAGCAAACAGGAUUAGAUACCCCUGUAGUCCCUGUCUCUUAUACAC